Molecule: transfer RNA, 67 nt
Filed under: Bacteroides fragilis str. Korea 419
Lineage: Bacteria; Pseudomonadati; Bacteroidota; Bacteroidia; Bacteroidales; Bacteroidaceae
Also listed under: 4 other names
Description: partial tRNA-Gly
Rfam family: tRNA
About the family: Transfer RNA (tRNA) molecules are approximately 80 nucleotides in length. Their secondary structure includes four short double-helical elements and three loops (D, anti-codon, and T loops).
Source: RNAcentral
GUAGCUCAGUUGAUAGAGCAUUAGCCUUCCAAGCUGAGGGUCGCGGGUUUGAGCCCCGUCUUCCGCU